UUUUCAAAUUAAUACUAGAUU
This 21-nucleotide non-coding RNA is filed under the name Caenorhabditis elegans. The record is from RNAcentral. Lineage: Eukaryota; Metazoa; Nematoda; Chromadorea; Rhabditida; Rhabditidae.